RNAcentral lists this ribosomal RNA (325 nucleotides) under uncultured eukaryote. RNAcentral describes it as "partial 18S ribosomal RNA". It matches the Rfam family "Eukaryotic small subunit ribosomal RNA", at positions 1470 to 1796 of the family's 1831-position model. The record is from RNAcentral.
CCCUUAGAUGUUCUGGGCCGCACGCGCGCUACACUGACGAAUGCAACGAGCUUAUAACCUUGGCCGAAAGGUCUGGGUAAUCUCCAAAUUUCGUCGUGAUGGGGAUAGAUUAUUGCAAGUAUUAAUCUUCAACGAGGAAUGCCUAGUAAGCGCAAGUCAUCAGCUUGCGUUGAUUACGUCCCUGCCCUUUGUACACACCGCCCGUCGCACCUACCGAUUGAAUGGUCCGGUGAGGACUCGGGAUUGUGGUUUAGCUCCUUCAUUGGGGCCUGACUGCGAGAACUUGUCCGAACCUUAUCAUUUAGAGGAAGGUGAAGUCGUAACA